Molecule: ribosomal RNA, 437 nt
Filed under: uncultured bacterium
Lineage: Bacteria
Description: bacterial SSU rRNA
Rfam family: Bacterial small subunit ribosomal RNA
Source: RNAcentral
GCUAAACGCGAAGAACCUUACCUGGUCUUGACAUGUCUGGAAUCCCGAAGAGAUUUGGGAGUGCCGCAAGGAACCAGAACACAGGUGCUGCAUGGCUGUCGUCAGCUCGUGUCGUGAGAUGUUGGGUUAAGUCCCGCAACGAGCGCAACCCUUGUCCUUAGUUGCCAUCAUUUAGUUGGAACUCUAAGGAGACCGCCGGUGACAAACCGGAGGAAGGUGGGGAUGACGUCAAGUCAUCAUGGCCUUUAUGACCAGGGCUACACACGUGCUACAAUGGCAGGUACAGAGGGAAGCCAACCAGCAAUGGGGAGCCAAUCCCAGAAAGCCGUUCGUAGUCCGGAUCGCAGUCUGCAACUCGACUGCGUGAAGUCGGAAUCGCUAGUAAUCGCAGAUCAGCAUUGCUGCGGUGAAUACGUUCCCGGGUCUUGUACACACCG